Molecule: ribosomal RNA, 925 nt
Filed under: uncultured bacterium
Lineage: Bacteria
Description: bacterial SSU rRNA
Rfam family: Bacterial small subunit ribosomal RNA
Source: RNAcentral
AGAGUUUGAUCAUGGCUCAGGACGAACGCUGGCGGCGUGCUUUACACAUGCAAGUCGAGCGAUGAGAUCCCUUCGGGGAAGGAUUAGCGGCGAACGGGUGAGGAACACGUGAGGAAUCUGUAAUCAACACUGGGAUAACUCCGGGAAACCGGGGCUAAUACCGGAUACGAGACCUGCAGGCAUCUGCGGGUCUGGAAAGUUUUUCGGUUGAAGAUGACCUCGCGGCCUAUCAGCUUGUUGGUGAGGUAAUGGCUCACCAAGGCGACGACGGGUAGCCGGCCUGAGAGGGCGACCGGCCACACUGGGACUGAGACACGGCCCAGACUCCUACGGGAGGCAGCAGUGGGGAAUAUUGGGCAAUGGAGGGAACUCUGACCCAGCGACGCCGCGUGCGGGAUGAAGGCCUUCGGGUUGUAAACCGCUUUCAGCAAGGAAGAAGCGAAAGUGACGGUACUUGCAGAAGAAGCACCGGCUAACUAUGUGCCAGCAGCCGCGGUAAUACAUAGGGUGCAAGCGUUGUCCGGAAUUAUUGGGCGUAAAGAGCUCGUAGGUGGUUUAUCACGUCGGAUGUGAAAUUCUGAGGCUCAACCUCGGACCUGCAUUCGAUACGGGCAAACUAGAGUGUGGUAGGGGAGACUGGAAUUCCUGGUGUAGCGGUGGAAUGCGCAGAUAUCAGGAGGAACACCAAUGGCGAAGGCAGGUCUCUGGGCCAUUACUGACACUGAGGAGCGAAAGCGCGGGGAGCGAACAGGAUUAGAUACCCUGGUAGUCCGCGCCGUAAACGGUGGGCACUAGUUGUGGGAACCUUCCACGGUUUCCGCGACGCAGCUAACGCAUUAAGUGCCCCGCCUGGGGAGUACGAUCGCAAGAUUAAAACUCAAGGAAUUGACGGGCCCGCACAAGCAGCGGAGCAUGCGGCUUAAUU